This 31-nucleotide non-coding RNA is filed under the name Homo sapiens (human). The record is from RNAcentral. Lineage: Eukaryota; Metazoa; Chordata; Mammalia; Primates; Hominidae.
CCUUAUAUUAAAAAGGGGUGCAAAUACAAGA